RNAcentral lists this ribosomal RNA (492 nucleotides) under uncultured bacterium. Its description in RNAcentral is "partial 16S ribosomal RNA". It matches the Rfam family "Bacterial small subunit ribosomal RNA", at positions 29 to 507 of the family's 1533-position model. The record is from RNAcentral.
AGCGAACGCUGGCGGCAGGCCUAACACAUGCAAGUCGAACGGUAGCACAUUAUACUCUUGCUAUUACGAGUGGCGAGGGGCGGACGGGUGAGGAAUACAUCGUAAUCUUUUUUUUCGUGGGGGACAACUUAGGGCAACUUAUGCUACUACAUCAUAACAUUUACGGGUAAAAUCAGGGGUGCUUUAGACAUUUCCCGAUCGAAUGAAUCGAUGUCCGAUGUGUUAGUUGGGUGGGUAAAGGCCCACCAAGGGGACAGACCGUAGCUGGUCUGAGAGGAUGAUCGCCCACACUGGAACGAGAAAACGGUCCAACCUCCUACGGGAGGAGGAGGUGGGGAAUAUUGGACAAUGAGCGAAAGCCUGAUCCAGCCAUACCGGGUGGGUAAAGAAGGCCUUCGAGUUUUAAAGCCCUUUUGUUGAGAAAGAAAAGCAGCAGGUUAAUACCCCGCUGUUCUGACGGUACCCAAAGAGUAAGCACCGGCUAACUUCGUG